CCACCGGCUGCAAGGGAGAGAAUCGUCAGCACCGCCAAGAUCCAACGCCCUUCACUGCGCUGCACACACAGCACUGUCCUGACAUUGAAUAAAUAGUAAAAAAAGGGAGAUGGAGAGAGAGAGUGAAACGUACACCCUCCAUUUCACACAGUGUCCAGAAAGCCUGGCUGUCAGCAUCCCGCUGGACUCCCUCCAGACAGGGUUCGCCUCUGCCUGGCGUGAGGACAAGGGCCUGCUGUGCAGCCGGUGAAGGUGGGUCCUGGGCUCUCGGCAGAGCACAGUUACAAUCCCUCUGGAGCAGGAUCCAGGACUCGUUACGAGUCUUUCCAUUGGCUCUGCUGAGCUCUGGAUCAGGCCCAGGUCGUGUUGCAUCACAUUUCUUUACAGCCUCCUUACAUUCCCCUCUCUGCACUCCUCUGUUGACAGAAAGCACUUGCCCUUUUUCUGCCAUGUAGGAAGAGGCUCAGCCCCUUAAUCAGACCUAAAUAAUGGGACCAGCUUGCUGCUGUUUUCUAGGUCCCUGCAGCAUGCUGAAUUUAGCAGAAAGAGAAGACUGUGAGAGGAAUUGCCCCUGAAUCAAAAUUAUGCUCGCAAUUUCCUCACCUUAAAAAGGAGCAUUUUUACCUGAGAAAGGUAACAAAACCUUUUGAUAUUUCAAUGGUUUUGCUGGAGCCUCCCACAACACCUGUGGCAGCCUCAGCCUUUCUUAUCCCUUUCUGAUGUCUGCACAGAUAAUUCUGAACACAGGUUCCUGCUUCAGCAAAUCUGCAGAUCUGAGCUCAGAUCCUGCAAGGGCUCUAUGGGUGCAGGACUGAGCUCAUAAAUUGAAAUUACAUUUGUUAUUAGUAGUGCCACUGCAGUCCUGUAGAAAUCCAGACAUAGUAUUUGACUCCAGUGUUUCCUGCAGCAGUGAAUUCCACUCUGGGAAGAAGCAUUUCCUUUCAUUUUCCUGAAGUUGUCCUUCUGCUGUGGGAUUUAAGACAAAGAUUCAUUUUUCUUUCCAUUAAAAUUAAAAUACUGGAUGCUAGCGGAAAGUGGUUUCUGGCUCUUUGUAAAUAUCAAAACCUCAGACCUUACUAGCUGUGAUAGCUUUCCAAAGCUAUUCUUCCAGGCAUUUCAGCAUCUAUUUCACUGUGUCCUAGGAAAGAGGGUGAGAGUUUCAGAACAGGGUACAUAUUCUGCUUAGAAAGUUGUUUGAUAAAAUAAAUAAAGCAUUUAAGUAAGGAGAACCCA
RNAcentral lists this long non-coding RNA (1233 nucleotides) under Parus major (Great Tit). Its description in RNAcentral is "lncRNA (ENSPMJG00000013435.1)". Lineage: Eukaryota; Metazoa; Chordata; Aves; Passeriformes; Paridae. The record is from RNAcentral.